GGCGGCAUGCCUUACACAUGCAAGUCGAACGGUAACAGGUCUUCGGACGCUGACGAGUGGCGAACGGGUGAGUAAUACAUCGGAACGUGCCCAGUCGUGGGGGAUAACUACUCGAAAGAGUAGCUAAUACCGCAUACGAUCUGAGGAUGAAAGCGGGGGACCUUCGGGCCCCGCGCGAUUGGAGCGGCCGAUGGCAGAUUAGGUAGUUGGUGGGAUAAAAGCUUACCAAGCCGACGAUCUGUAGCUGGUCUGAGAGGACGACCAGCCACACUGGGACCGAGACACGGCCCAGACUCCUACGGGAGGCAGCAGUGGGGAAUUUUGGACAAUGGGCGAAAGCCUGAUCCAGCAAUGCCGCGUGCAGGAUGAAGGCCUUCGGGUUGUAAACUGCUUUUGUACGGAACGAAAAAGCUUCUCCUAAUACGAGAGGCCCAUGACGGUACCGUAAGAAUAAGCACCGGCUAACUACGUGCCAGCAGCCGCGGUAAUACGUAGGGUGCGAGCGUUAAUCGGAAUUACUGGGCGUAAAGCGUGCGCAGGCGGUUAUGUAAGACAGAUGUGAAGUCCCCGGGCUCAACCUGGGAACUGCAUUUGUGACUGCAUGGCUAGAGUACGGUAGAGGGGGAUGGAAUUCCGCGUGUAGCAGUGAAAUGCGUAGAUAUGCGGAGGAACACCGAUGGCGAAGGCAAUCCCCUGGACCUGUACUGACGCUCAUGCACGAAAGCGUGGGGAGC
This 734-nucleotide ribosomal RNA is filed under the name uncultured bacterium. Its description in RNAcentral is "bacterial SSU rRNA". It matches the Rfam family "Bacterial small subunit ribosomal RNA", at positions 38 to 769 of the family's 1533-position model. The record is from RNAcentral.